GUGGAUAUGAGAGCAGGGAAUCUUACUUCCCUUAAUGUAACAUAUACAUGAGCAGUGCUGUCAUAGAGGCUAUAGAGAAUCAUUGAAUACAAUGAUUCACUAUGGAAGAAUCGCAGGCAUAUCGCAGCAAGCACUGCACAUGUGCCUACAUUCCUCAAUGCUCCUUUAUGAGGAGCAUUGGAAUGGCACGCCUUCAGGAUGAUGCAACCAGAGGAGGUGGUUGCGGCAGCCGGUCUGAUGAUGUCACUGCAUGGUACUGGGAGUGAAGUAGGGAAGACCAUAGAGACCAUGUAGAGGUUUUCAAACACUGUCUGACCCAAGGUAUAUGUG
This is a non-coding RNA of Pelobates cultripes (western spadefoot toad), 330 nucleotides long. Lineage: Eukaryota; Metazoa; Chordata; Amphibia; Anura; Pelobatidae. The record is from the annotation of a GenBank genome assembly.